GAAAGAAACAAAGUGGAGAAG
This 21-nucleotide small RNA is filed under the name Arabidopsis thaliana (thale cress). RNAcentral's name for it is "ATSL232060". The record is from RNAcentral. Lineage: Eukaryota; Viridiplantae; Streptophyta; Magnoliopsida; Brassicales; Brassicaceae.